UACGUAGGGUGCAAGCGUUAAUCGGAAUUACUGGGCGUAAAGCGUGCGCAGGCGGUUUUGUAAGUCUGUCGUGAAAUCCCUGGGCUCAACCUGGGAAUUGCGAUGGAGACUGCAAGGCUAGAAUCUGGCAGAGGGGGGUAGAAUUCCACGUGUAGCAGUGAAAUGCGUAGAGAUGUGGAGGAACACCGAUGGCGAAGGCAGCCCCCUGGGUCAAGAUUGACGCUCAUGCACGAAAGCGUGGGGAGCAAACAGG
This 253-nucleotide ribosomal RNA is filed under the name uncultured bacterium. RNAcentral describes it as "partial 16S ribosomal RNA". It matches the Rfam family "Bacterial small subunit ribosomal RNA", at positions 524 to 776 of the family's 1533-position model. The record is from RNAcentral.